RNAcentral lists this ribosomal RNA (2933 nucleotides) under Escherichia coli. RNAcentral's name for it is "23S ribosomal RNA". It matches the Rfam family "Bacterial large subunit ribosomal RNA". Lineage: Bacteria; Pseudomonadati; Pseudomonadota; Gammaproteobacteria; Enterobacterales; Enterobacteriaceae. The record is from RNAcentral.
GGGUUGUGAGGUUAAGCGACUAAGCGUACACGGUGGAUGCCCUGGCAGUCAGAGGCGAUGAAGGACGUGCUAAUCUGCGAUAAGCGUCGGUAAGGUGAUAUGAACCGUUAUAACCGGCGAUUUCCGAAUGGGGAAACCCAGUGUGUUUCGACACACUAUCAUUAACUGAAUCCAUAGGUUAAUGAGGCGAACCGGGGGAACUGAAACAUCUAAGUACCCCGAGGAAAAGAAAUCAACCGAGAUUCCCCCAGUAGCGGCGAGCGAACGGGGAGCAGCCCAGAGCCUGAAUCAGUAUGUGUGUUAGUGGAAGCGUCUGGAAAGGCGCGCGAUACAGGGUGACAGCCCCGUACACAAAAAUGCACAUAUUGUGAGCUCGAUGAGUAGGGCGGGACACGUGGUAUCCUGUCUGAAUAUGGGGGGACCAUCCUCCAAGGCUAAAUACUCCUGACUGACCGAUAGUGAACCAGUACCGUGAGGGAAAGGCGAAAAGAACCCCGGCGAGGGGAGUGAAAAAGAACCUGAAACCGUGUACGUACAAGCAGUGGGAGCACGCUUAGGCGUGUGACUGCGUACCUUUUGUAUAAUGGGUCAGCGACUUAUAUUCUGUAGCAAGGUUAACCGAAUAGGGGAGCCGAAGGGAAACCGAGUCUUAACUGGGCGUUAAGUUGCAGGGUAUAGACCCGAAACCCGGUGAUCUAGCCAUGGGCAGGUUGAAGGUUGGGUAACACUAACUGGAGGACCGAACCGACUAAUGUUGAAAAAUUAGCGGAUGACUUGUGGCUGGGGGUGAAAGGCCAAUCAAACCGGGAGAUAGCUGGUUCUCCCCGAAAGCUAUUUAGGUAGCGCCUCGUGAAUUCAUCUCCGGGGGUAGAGCACUGUUUCGGCAAGGGGGUCAUCCCGACUUACCAACCCGAUGCAAACUGCGAAUACCGGAGAAUGUUAUCACGGGAGACACACGGCGGGUGCUAACGUCCGUCGUGAAGAGGGAAACAACCCAGACCGCCAGCUAAGGUCCCAAAGUCAUGGUUAAGUGGGAAACGAUGUGGGAAGGCCCAGACAGCCAGGAUGUUGGCUUAGAAGCAGCCAUCAUUUAAAGAAAGCGUAAUAGCUCACUGGUCGAGUCGGCCUGCGCGGAAGAUGUAACGGGGCUAAACCAUGCACCGAAGCUGCGGCAGCGACACUUAUGUGUUGUUGGGUAGGGGAGCGUUCUGUAAGCCUGCGAAGGUGUGCUGUGAGGCAUGCUGGAGGUAUCAGAAGUGCGAAUGCUGACAUAAGUAACGAUAAAGCGGGUGAAAAGCCCGCUCGCCGGAAGACCAAGGGUUCCUGUCCAACGUUAAUCGGGGCAGGGUGAGUCGACCCCUAAGGCGAGGCCGAAAGGCGUAGUCGAUGGGAAACAGGUUAAUAUUCCUGUACUUGGUGUUACUGCGAAGGGGGGACGGAGAAGGCUAUGUUGGCCGGGCGACGGUUGUCCCGGUUUAAGCGUGUAGGCUGGUUUUCCAGGCAAAUCCGGAAAAUCAAGGCUGAGGCGUGAUGACGAGGCACUACGGUGCUGAAGCAACAAAUGCCCUGCUUCCAGGAAAAGCCUCUAAGCAUCAGGUAACAUCAAAUCGUACCCCAAACCGACACAGGUGGUCAGGUAGAGAAUACCAAGGCGCUUGAGAGAACUCGGGUGAAGGAACUAGGCAAAAUGGUGCCGUAACUUCGGGAGAAGGCACGCUGAUAUGUAGGUGAGGUCCCUCGCGGAUGGAGCUGAAAUCAGUCGAAGAUACCAGCUGGCUGCAACUGUUUAUUAAAAACACAGCACUGUGCAAACACGAAAGUGGACGUAUACGGUGUGACGCCUGCCCGGUGCCGGAAGGUUAAUUGAUGGGGUUAGCCGCAAGGCGAAGCUCUUGAUCGAAGCCCCGGUAAACGGCGGCCGUAACUAUAACGGUCCUAAGGUAGCGAAAUUCCUUGUCGGGUAAGUUCCGACCUGCACGAAUGGCGUAAUGAUGGCCAGGCUGUCUCCACCCGAGACUCAGUGAAAUUGAACUCGCUGUGAAGAUGCAGUGUACCCGCGGCAAGACGGAAAGACCCCGUGAACCUUUACUAUAGCUUGACACUGAACAUUGAGCCUUGAUGUGUAGGAUAGGUGGGAGGCUUAGAAGUGUGGACGCCAGUCUGCAUGGAGCCGACCUUGAAAUACCACCCUUUAAUGUUUGAUGUUCUAACGUUGACCCGUAAUCCGGGUUGCGGACAGUGUCUGGUGGGUAGUUUGACUGGGGCGGUCUCCUCCUAAAGAGUAACGGAGGAGCACGAAGGUUGGCUAAUCCUGGUCGGACAUCAGGAGGUUAGUGCAAUGGCAUAAGCCAGCUUGACUGCGAGCGUGACGGCGCGAGCAGGUGCGAAAGCAGGUCAUAGUGAUCCGGUGGUUCUGAAUGGAAGGGCCAUCGCUCAACGGAUAAAAGGUACUCCGGGGAUAACAGGCUGAUACCGCCCAAGAGUUCAUAUCGACGGCGGUGUUUGGCACCUCGAUGUCGGCUCAUCACAUCCUGGGGCUGAAGUAGGUCCCAAGGGUAUGGCUGUUCGCCAUUUAAAGUGGUACGCGAGCUGGGUUUAGAACGUCGUGAGACAGUUCGGUCCCUAUCUGCCGUGGGCGCUGGAGAACUGAGGGGGGCUGCUCCUAGUACGAGAGGACCGGAGUGGACGCAUCACUGGUGUUCGGGUUGUCAUGCCAAUGGCACUGCCCGGUAGCUAAAUGCGGAAGAGAUAAGUGCUGAAAGCAUCUAAGCACGAAACUUGCCCCGAGAUGAGUUCUCCCUGACUCCUUGAGAGUCCUGAAGGAACGUUGAAGACGACGACGUUGAUAGGCCGGGUGUGUAAGCGCAGCGAUGCGUUGAGCUAACCGGUACUAAUGAACCGUGAGGCUUAACCUUACAACGCCGAAGGUGUUU